Molecule: ribosomal RNA, 1343 nt
Filed under: uncultured bacterium
Lineage: Bacteria
Description: 16S ribosomal RNA
Rfam family: Bacterial small subunit ribosomal RNA
Source: RNAcentral
GACGAACGCUGGCGGCGUGCUCAACACAUGCAAGUCGAACGGAAAGGCCCUGCUUUUGUGGGGUGCUCGAGUGGCGAACGGGUGAGUAACACGUGAGUAACCUGCCCUUGACUUUGGGAUAACUUCAGGAAACUGGGGCUAAUACCGGAUAGGAGCUCCUGCUGCAUGGUGGGGGUUGGAAAGUUUCGGCGGUUGGGGAUGGACUCGCGGCUUAUCAGCUUGUUGGUGGGGUAGUGGCUUACCAAGGCUUUGACGGGUAGCCGGCCUGAGAGGGUGACCGGCCACAUUGGGACUGAGAUACGGCCCAGACUCCUACGGGAGGCAGCAGUGGGGAAUAUUGCACAAUGGGCGGAAGCCUGAUGCAGCAACGCCGCGUGCGGGAUGACGGCCUUCGGGUUGUAAACCGCUUUCGCCUGUGACGAAGCGUGAGUGACGGUAAUGGGUAAAGAAGCACCGGCUAACUACGUGCCAGCAGCCGCGGUGAUACGUAGGGUGCGAGCGUUGUCCGGAUUUAUUGGGCGUAAAGGGCUCGUAGGUGGUUGAUCGCGUCGGAAGUGUAAUCUUGGGGCUUAACCCUGAGCGUGCUUUCGAUACGGGUUGACUUGAGGAAGGUAGGGGAGAAUGGAAUUCCUGGUGGAGCGGUGGAAUGCGCAGAUAUCAGGAGGAACACCAGUGACGAAGGCGGUUCUCUGGGCCUUUCCUGACGCUGAGGAGCGAAAGCGUGGGGAGCGAACAGGCUUAGAUACCCUGGUAGUCCACGCUGUAAACGGUGGGUACUAGGUGUGGGGUCCAUUCCACGGGUUCCGUGCCGUAGCUAACGCUUUAAGUACCCCGCCUGGGGAGUACGGCCGCAAGGCUAAAACUCAAAGGAAUUGACGGGGCCCCGCACAAGCGGCGGAGCAUGCGGAUUAAUUCGAUGCAACGCGUAGAACCUUACCUGGGUUUGACAUGGAUCGGGAGUGCUCAGAGAUGGGUGUGCCUCUUUUGGGGUCGGUUCACAGGUGGUGCAUGGCUGUCGUCAGCUCGUGUCGUGAGAUGUUGGGUUAAGUCCCGCAACGAGCGCAACCCUUGUUCACUGUUGCCAGCACGUUAUGGUGGGGACUCAGUGGAGACCGCCGGGGUCAACUCGGAGGAAGGUGGGGAUGACGUCAAGUCAUCAUGCCCCUUAUGUCCAGGGCUUCACGCAUGCUACAAUGGCUGGUACAGAGAGUGGCGAACCUGUGAGGGUGAGCGAAUCUCGGAAAGCCGGUCUCAGUCCGGAUUGGGGUCUGCAACUCGACCUCAUGAAGUCGGAGUCGCUAGUAAUCGCAGAUCAGCAACGCUGCGGUGAAUACGUUCCCGGG